This 1501-nucleotide ribosomal RNA is filed under the name uncultured bacterium. Its description in RNAcentral is "partial 16S ribosomal RNA". It matches the Rfam family "Bacterial small subunit ribosomal RNA". The record is from RNAcentral.
AGAGUUUGAUCCUGGCUCAGAAUGAACGCUGGCGGCGUGCUUAACACAUGCAAGUCGAACGAGAAAGGGCUUCGGCCCGAGUACAGUGGCGAACGGGUGAGUAAUGCAUAGGAAUUACCCCUCUAGUGAAGGAUACUCUCGAGAAAUCGAGAACAAUCCUGCAUAAGUUUCUUCGGAAAGAAAGAUGGCCUCUUUGCUGUCGCUAGGGGACGAGCCUAUGUGCUAUCAGCUAGUUGGUAGGGUAAUGGCCUACCAAGGCUAUGACGGUUAGCCGGCCUGAGAGGGUGUACGGCCACAUUGGAACUUAGACACGGUCCAGACUCCUACGGGAGGCAGCAGUGGGGAAUAUUGCGCAAUGGGCGAAAGCCUGACGCAGCGACGCCGCGUGGAGGAUGAAGGUCUUCGGAUUGUAAACUUCUGUUAGGUGGGAAGAAAUGCAUAGUCCUAAUACGACUAUGAGAUGACGGUACCAUCAGAGAAAGCACCGGCUAAACUCGUGCCAGCAGCCGCGGUAAUACGAGUGGUGCAAGCGUUAUUCGGAGUGAUUGGGCGUAAAGGGUGUGUAGGCGGCAUGUUAAGUCAAUUGUUAAAUUCCUCGGCUCAACCGAGGUGCAGCGGUUGAAACUAACUUGCUUGAGGGUGGAAGAGAGAAGUGGAAUUCUCGGAGUAGCGGUAAAAUGCGUAGAUCUCGAGAGGAACACCGAUGGCGAAGGCAGCUUCUUGGUCCAUUUCUGACGCUGAGGCACGAAAGCGUGGGGAGCAAACAGGAUUAGAUACCCUGGUAGUCCACGCCGUAAACGAUGGUCACUAGACGUUGGUCUUGCUUUGCGAGAUCAGUGUCGUAGCUAACGCGUUAAGUGACCCGCCUGGGGAGUACGGUCGCAAGAUUAAAACUCAAAGGAAUUGACGGGGGUCCGCACAAGCGGUGGAACAUGUGGUUUAAUUCGAUACUACGCGAGGAACCUUACCUGGGCUUGACAUGUACUUGAUCGCCGUAGAAAUAUGGUUUUUCAGGCGUAAGCUUGAACGGGUACACAGGUGCUGCAUGGCUGUCGUCAGCUCGUGUCGUGAGAUGUUGGGUUAAGUCCUUUAACGAGNNNNNNNNNNNNNNNNNNCAACCCUCUUCGGAGGGGCACUCUGAUGGGACUGCCUAGGAAACUAGGAGGAAGGUGGGGAUGACGUCAAGUCCGCAUGGCCCUUAUGUCCAGGGCAACACACGUGUUACAAUGGGUAGUACAGAGCGUUGCAAUCCCGCAAGGGGGAGCGAAUCGCAGAAAGCUACUCUAAGUUCGGAUUGAGGUCUGCAAUUCGACCUCAUGAAGCUGAAAUCGCUAGUAAUCGCAUAUCAGAACGAUGCGGUGAANNNNNNNNNNNNNNNNNNNNNNNNNNNNNNNNNNNNNACGAAAGCUGUUUGUACCCUAAGUUGUCUUAGCUAACCCCUUGGGGGGGGGGGGGGGGGGGGGGGGGGGAGUGAUUGGGGUGAAGUCGUAACAAGGUAACC